UUAUCAAAGUCAGGUCCUGUAGGGUGCUUUACUUUCCCCUGCUUCCCCGGCUUCUCCCCUUCCCAGCCUUCUCUAUUUUAGACUUUAAAGUUUUAAACAACCACAUCCAAUUUCAUCUUCCCAAAUCCAAAUUUUGUUGUUGAUUUUUGAUCGGAUCCGAAUUGAUCUGGGAUGGAUCAGAUGACUUGUCCAUUUUUGGACAACUCGGAGAUGAUUCAAUUCAAGCCGACUGAGUUUGUCAGAGUUCUCGGCGAGUCUUCCGUCACCGUGGCAAAGUGUACUGGACACGGACCGGAGUCCUCCAAUCUAGUGAUGACUCGGUCAGAUCUUUGAACCAUGACUAUGAUAUGUUUAAUGUAAUUUUUUCCAUCAGUGCAUAUUUCAUGGAAUGAAAUAUUAUAUUUUAUCAAAAAAUAAAUAUUGAUUUGUAUUCACGUUUCA
This is a long non-coding RNA of Coffea eugenioides, 441 nucleotides long. RefSeq lists it as uncharacterized. Lineage: Eukaryota; Viridiplantae; Streptophyta; Magnoliopsida; Gentianales; Rubiaceae. The transcript is spliced from 2 exons. The record is from RefSeq and is a predicted model, not a curated record.